Molecule: ribosomal RNA, 253 nt
Filed under: uncultured bacterium
Lineage: Bacteria
Description: partial 16S ribosomal RNA
Rfam family: Bacterial small subunit ribosomal RNA
Source: RNAcentral
UACGGAGGGUGCAAACGUUGCUCGGAAUCAUUGGGCGUAAAGCGUCUGUAGGUGGCUUUUUAAGUCCGCCGUCAAAUCCCAGGGCUCAACUCUGGACAGGCGGUGGAAACUACCAAGCUGGAGUACGGUAGGGGCAGAGGGAAUUUCCGGUGGAGCGGUGAAAUGCGUAGAGAUCGGAAAGAACUCCAACGGCGAAAGCACUCUGCUGGGCCGACACUGACACUGAGAGACGAAAGCUAGGGGAGCGAAUGGG